This 72-nucleotide transfer RNA is filed under the name Ornithorhynchus anatinus (platypus). It matches the Rfam family "tRNA". Rfam says of the family: Transfer RNA (tRNA) molecules are approximately 80 nucleotides in length. The record is from Rfam by way of RNAcentral. Lineage: Eukaryota; Metazoa; Chordata; Mammalia; Monotremata; Ornithorhynchidae.
AGCAGUGUUGCUUAGUGGAAAGAGCCUGGGCUUGGGAGUCAGAAGAUGUGGGCUCUAAUCCCGCCUCCGCCA